AAGAUGGCGACCGGCGCACGGGUGAGUAACACGUAUCCAACCUGCCGAUGACUCGGGGAUAGCCUUUCGAAAGAAAGAUUAAUACCCGAUGGCAUAGUUCUUCCGCAUGGUAGAACUAUUAAAGAAUUUCGGUCAUCGAUGGGGAUGCGUUCCAUUAGGUUGUUGGCGGGGUAACGGCCCACCAAGCCUUCGAUGGAUAGGGGUUCUGAGAGGAAGGUCCCCCACAUUGGAACUGAGACACGGUCCAAACUCCUACGGGAGGCAGCAUG
Molecule: ribosomal RNA, 269 nt
Filed under: uncultured bacterium
Lineage: Bacteria
Description: partial 16S ribosomal RNA
Rfam family: Bacterial small subunit ribosomal RNA
Source: RNAcentral